Non-coding RNA from Salmo salar (Atlantic salmon), 55 nucleotides. NCBI's taxonomy places the organism in Eukaryota, Metazoa, Chordata, Actinopteri, Salmoniformes, Salmonidae. The record is from Rfam.
UGAAUGCACUAACUGUAAGUCGCUCUGGAUAAGAGCAUCUGCUAAGUGACUCAAA